This 508-nucleotide ribosomal RNA is filed under the name Bacillus sp. '7.3 MW-13'. Its description in RNAcentral is "bacterial SSU rRNA". It matches the Rfam family "Bacterial small subunit ribosomal RNA", at positions 10 to 502 of the family's 1533-position model. Lineage: Bacteria; Bacillati; Bacillota; Bacilli; Caryophanales; Bacillaceae. The record is from RNAcentral.
AGAUUUAUCCGGCUCAGAUAACGCUGGCGGCGUGCCUAAUACAUGCAAGUCGAGCGAAUGGAUUAAGAGCUUGCUCUUAUGAAGUUAGCGGCGGACGGGUGAGUAACACGUGGGUAACCUGCCCAUAAGACUGGGAUAACUCCGGGAAACCGGGGCUAAUACCGGAUAACAUUUUGAACUGCAUGGUUCGAAAUUGAAAGGCGGCUUCGGCUGUCACUUAUGGAUGGACCCGCGUCGCAUUAGCUAGUUGGUGAGGUAACGGCUCACCAAGGCAACGAUGCGUAGCCGACCUGAGAGGGUGAUCGGCCACACUGGGACUGAGACACGGCCCAGACUCCUACGGGAGGCAGCAGUAGGGAAUCUUCCGCAAUGGACGAAAGUCUGACGGAGCAACGCCGCGUGAGUGAUGAAGGCUUUCGGGUCGUAAAACUCUGUUGUUAGGGAAGAACAAGUGCUAGUUGAAUAAGCUGGCACCUUGACGGUACCUAACCAGAAAGCCACGCUAACU